Molecule: long non-coding RNA, 651 nt
Organism: Pieris napi
Lineage: Eukaryota; Metazoa; Arthropoda; Insecta; Lepidoptera; Pieridae
Exons: 3
Source: RefSeq, a predicted model, not a curated record
GCGCGCGCAAUCGUAAAAUUUCACUCUCAUCAAUUUUUCAUAACGCGGCUAAAGAAGUAUAACUUCAUAAAUAUCAAUAAACAACAGAUUAAUACAUACACUGACACAUAACAUAAUCAUCUUUAGGUAUAAAAAAAUUAGAAUUAUCACAUCAAUAAAAAGCAUAGAGAAAGGCUAAUACAACCUAACUGAAUCUUCAUCAUAGUACAAUACAAAUUGAAAGUAAAUCUAGAACUACACGAAGUUGUCUAACGUAAGAUUGAUAGAUCAAUUUCCAAAGGGAUCAAUAAAUCGCAAGAAUGUCGAAGAUAAUUUUGGCUAUUUUCUUAAUCGUCCUGUGUGGGCUCAUUUUUGUUACUGGACAAGGAAAGGAGUGUCCUGGUAUACCUUGUAAGGAUGAAAAAGAUUGUGACCCAGACAGAGAAAUCUGCACUAUAUAUUAUGUUGAUGAGAAUAAUAAUACAUUUUGGAGAUGUGAACUUAUUGUUUCUUUAUGAAAUGUAAAUUUGGCGCCUUCAGCAAUUAUAGAAUACAUCACUUGUUGUCUAUGUCAUAUCUGGUAUCUAUGAUUUGCUCUGUGUAUAAGCCUACUUCUUUUUUCGCCAUUGUCUGGUUAACAUUAAAAUAUAAUUAAUACAGUGAUUAAUAAAA